RNAcentral lists this ribosomal RNA (253 nucleotides) under uncultured bacterium. Its description in RNAcentral is "partial 16S ribosomal RNA". It matches the Rfam family "Bacterial small subunit ribosomal RNA", at positions 524 to 776 of the family's 1533-position model. The record is from RNAcentral.
UACGUAGGGUGCGAGCGUUGUCCGGAAUUAUUGGGCGUAAAGAGCUUGUAGGCGGUUUGUCGCGUCUGCCGUGAAAUUUCGAGGCUCAACCUCGAACUUGCGGUGGGUACGGGCAGACUAGAGUGUGGUAGGGGAGACUGGAAUUCCUGGUGUAGCGGUGGAAUGCGCAGAUAUCAGGAGGAACACCGGUGGCGAAGGCGGGUCUCUGGGCAGUAACUGACGCUGAGGAGCGAAAGCGUGGGGAGCGAACAGG